GUGUUGGUAGCUCAAUUGGUAGAGCGCUGCGUUGUGGUCGCAGUGGUUGCGGGUUCAAGUCCCGUCCAUCACCCC
This 75-nucleotide transfer RNA is filed under the name Streptomyces phage Sham. Its description in RNAcentral is "tRNA-Val". It matches the Rfam family "tRNA". From Rfam's summary of the family: Transfer RNA (tRNA) molecules are approximately 80 nucleotides in length. Their secondary structure includes four short double-helical elements and three loops (D, anti-codon, and T loops). Lineage: Duplodnaviria; Heunggongvirae; Uroviricota; Caudoviricetes; Stanwilliamsviridae. The record is from RNAcentral.